AGCGAGUGAAGCGGGAAAAGCUCAAAUUUAAAAUCUGGUGGUCUUUGGCCAUCCGAGUUGUAAUCUAGAGAAGUGUUACCCGUGUCGGACCGUGUACAAGUCUCCUGGAAUGGAGCGUCAUAGAGGGUGAGAAUCCCGUCUUUGACACGGACUACCGAGGCUUUGUGGUGCGCUCUCAAAGAGUCGAGUUGUUUGGGAAUGCAGCUCAAAAUGGGUGGUAAAUUCCAUCUAAAGCUAAAUAUUGGCGAGAGACCGAUAGCGAACAAGUACCGUGAGGGAAAGAUGAAAAGAACUUUGGAAAGAGAGUUAAACAGUACGUGAAAUUGCUGAAAGGGAAACGCUUGAAGUCAGUCGCGUUAGCUGGAAAUCAGCCUUGCUUUUGCUGGGUGUACUUUCUGGUUGACGGGCCAGCAUCAGUUUUGACCGGUGGAAAAAGUCUGGAGGAAUGUGGCAUCUUCGGAUGUGUUAUAGCCUUUGGUCGUAUGCAUCGAUUGGGACUGAGGAACUCAGCACUUGUGCUUAGGAUGCUGGCAUAAUGGCUUUAAUCGACCCGUCUG
This 557-nucleotide ribosomal RNA is filed under the name Psathyrella longistriata. RNAcentral's name for it is "partial large subunit ribosomal RNA". It matches the Rfam family "Eukaryotic large subunit ribosomal RNA", at positions 88 to 655 of the family's 3401-position model. Lineage: Eukaryota; Fungi; Basidiomycota; Agaricomycetes; Agaricales; Psathyrellaceae. The record is from RNAcentral.